CACGAGGCCAGGAGCAGCAGAGGUGCCGGACAGCACGAGGAGGUGGGAGAGGUGUGAGCAGCAGACAGAGGUGGAUGGAGUGCUGGAUGCCCGCUGCCCCCUGACAGCAGCUUUGGGGCUGGAGGAGAGCCCCGAGGGGAGCCAGAGCUGUCCUUGCCCAGGGAGCCUGGUCCUGGCAGCCAGUCCCACCGUGCCUGCUGUCACUGUCCUGUCCUGCCCCUGGUGCCACGAGUCCUGUCCUCAUCUCCUGCAGCUCUUGGUGCACACUGGAGAGCACCUGGGGCCAGGUGUUCCCUGUAAAACUGGAACUGUGUUCAGGCGUUCCUCCAAGAUCCAGCUGAGACAGAUGCUCUUCCCAGUGGGGCCAUUUGCACCUGCUUUGGCCUCUCCUGAGCAGGGCUGUGGUAGCUCCGUGCUUCAAGCCUUGAGGAAGCUCUCCCAUCUCAAGUUCCAGUGUUUACUCACUAAGCUGAAAGCCUGUCAGAGUCAUGCCUCCUGCUCCUGAUUUUCACUGGGGAAAGGCAGAGCUGCAGACCCAGAGGUGCUGCAGGGAUGGGCCAGCAAAGACAGUUUUUCUUUGAGUGCAGAAGGAAACACUGACUCAUGAUUUACAUGGGGAGGAUUUCUGGCCACCUGGUCCAUAUUAUAGCAUUGCAUGUGCUAUUUUUGCUCUUAUUUCAAUGUGUAUUUCCAAAGGAGGAUCAUGAAAGCUAAGAGAAGAAGAAGAAGACAUCAGGGCCGUGUUGUGACUGAGAUUUUACACACAUAAAAGCCCUUAAGCACUGCUGUGUAAAACCCAUUGGUUUCACUUCACAGGGGCUGUGACAAGAUUUGCUCUGGCUUUUGAUGCCCGUCAG
RNAcentral lists this long non-coding RNA (857 nucleotides) under Parus major (Great Tit). Its description in RNAcentral is "lncRNA (ENSPMJG00000013055.1)". Lineage: Eukaryota; Metazoa; Chordata; Aves; Passeriformes; Paridae. The record is from RNAcentral.